Molecule: long non-coding RNA, 155 nt
Organism: Telopea speciosissima
Lineage: Eukaryota; Viridiplantae; Streptophyta; Magnoliopsida; Proteales; Proteaceae
Exons: 2
Source: RefSeq, a predicted model, not a curated record
AGAGGCACGUGCCAAAGCCCUUCGAGAGAUUAACAACUCUAAAUAUGCUAAACGGGUUUUCGAAUUAAUGAGGAAGCAAGAGGAGACUCGUUUGGCUGAGCUGAAGGUUGAGAAAGCCCAAUUUCAAGCCUUCCAAGCUCAAGUUGAGAUUGUGA